RNAcentral lists this ribosomal RNA (395 nucleotides) under uncultured bacterium. Its description in RNAcentral is "bacterial SSU rRNA". It matches the Rfam family "Bacterial small subunit ribosomal RNA", at positions 957 to 1353 of the family's 1533-position model. The record is from RNAcentral.
UAACGCGAAGAACCUUANCAGGUCUUGACAUCUUUUGAUAGCCUAAGAGAUUAGGCGUUCCCUUCGGGGACGGAAUGACAGGUGGUGCAUGGUUGUCGUCAGCUCGUGUCGUGAGAUGUUGGGUUAAGUCCCGCAACGAGCGCAACCCUUAUUGUCAGUUGCCAGCAUUUAGUUGGGCACUCUGGCGAGACUGCCGGUGACAAACCGGAGGAAGGUGGGGAUGACGUCAAAUCAUCAUGCCCCUUAUGACCUGGGCUACACACGUGCUACAAUGGACGGUACAACGAGUCGCGAAACCGCGAGGUCAAGCUAAUCUCUUAAAGCCGUUCUCAGUUCGGAUUGUAGGCUGCAACUCGCCUACAUGAAGUUGGAAUCGCUAGUAAUCGUGGAUCAGC